CUCCCCUUCCUACCUGGCCCCCUUUCUCCCUUUCUCCCUCCCUCUCUCUCUCUCUCUCCUGCAGCUAUGAGUCUUCUGCCGAAAUCUUGCCCCACACCCCGCGGCUCACCCAUUUCCCCAACGUCUCCGGCUCUCCGUCAAGCUUGGCCGAUUCCAUGCAGCAGAGCCCGGCGUGUUCCCACAGGCGCCGCCAGCAGACUGCCAGCGUCAUGUAGCCCCGCCCCUUUUCCCUCCUCCCCUCCCCAAGGCAAAGGCCCUGCCCGCCUGGGAGACUCUGGCCAGCUACGAGGAGACCACGGCCCCGAAGGAAGGAAAAGAAGACCCCAAAGAAGAAAUGACAGAAACAGACCCCGAGAAGAAAGAGAACUAACGGCGAGCGACUGGCCAGGCUGGGCUUUCUCCUCCCCCACCCCUCCCAUUCCCUCCGACCCCCUCCCCUAUCGCAAACGGUUUUUUCAUUUUUUAUUUUCCAAGCCAACUGGAUGGCUUCACAGCCGUACGUGGGGUGCACUUAUGUCUCUGUGCGUCUGUCUGUCUGUGUCGGACUUGGGGGCAGCCCAGGGGUUUGGGGGGGGGGCGAUCCGUGGUUUGGAUCUCAGAUCUGCCUUCCUGGACCUGGAAUUCCCUCCCCCCAGGGGAAGAAACAGGCAGGUGUGUGUGUGUGUGUGUGUGUGCGCGCGUGUGGAGUUAAUGGUUCCUCCCUCCCUCCCCCCACCCCCCCACCCCCAAAAUCUUUUGACACCGGCCCACCUUCCUUUCUUCGUUGCCUUGGGGUUGGGGGAGGUAGAGGGAAGGGGGUCCUGGGUGCUGAUUUUUAAAUUUUGUAUGGUGGAUUUGCUUCUUCUCAUAUUAAAAGGGAGGAAAAAAAAAAAUGAAAGCCGGAAGAAGACCAGAUCCGGAGAAUCAUUGCUAACGAAUUAUCUUGUCAACUCAUUAAAAAUAUUUCUCUGGUCUUCUUAAGAGUUGCCAACCGAAAGGGAGAAAGGGGGAAGCUGUGCGGCAGCUUGGAAACCGAAAGCGCAUUCCAUAAAUGUUUUCAAAGAUAGUAUCUGGGUGACUGGAGUUUUUGCUGUGCUAAAUUCUAACUGGAGAGCAUGAUCGAUGCCUCUGGGCUAUGGAGGUGUCCCAUUGGAGAAUAGGAAUUACGAUACACCCAGGGGGGCUGGGGAAAAUCCCAGGGUCAAGGGUGACAGUGAAUGAUGUGCCUCGGAGUCGGCUACACCCAGGCAGUGCUGGACAUGUUAACUCCCAAUAAAUCCUUCGGAAGUGUUGGAAGUUUGGCUCGA
This 1286-nucleotide long non-coding RNA is filed under the name Notechis scutatus (mainland tiger snake). RNAcentral describes it as "lncRNA (ENSNSUG00000009548.1)". Lineage: Eukaryota; Metazoa; Chordata; Lepidosauria; Squamata; Elapidae. The record is from RNAcentral.